This is a long non-coding RNA of Poecile atricapillus (Black-capped chickadee), 455 nucleotides long. RefSeq lists it as uncharacterized. NCBI's taxonomy places the organism in Eukaryota, Metazoa, Chordata, Aves, Passeriformes, Paridae. The record is from RefSeq and is a predicted model, not a curated record. The transcript is spliced from 3 exons.
UUAGGCUGCUGUGGAUUGAAAGUGUUUCUUUGUGUCUGCUUGAGCAGCCUCCUUGCCUGGUGUGCUGGGUUUCUUGGGUGGUGGGUGGUGGUGUUGCAUCUGUUGCAGAGGCUGGGUACUAAAAUUUAGAUGCCCAAAGGCAAAAACAUUGAAAUUGUUGCUUUUCUGUGGAGGUGCCAGAAGAUAGAACUGUGCAGUAAGGGGCCCACAGAUAAGCCCUGGGAUUUGGAAUGCUCUCAUGGAGUGCUGUCAUGCUGCCUUUUCCCAGAGUGUGACACCAUCAGCUGCAUCUUGACUGUAUGUGGCAGGACAGGCUCGUCUGCUCUGAAAUAAAUUGCUAAAGAUGAUCCUUCCUCUCCAAGUUCUUUUUAUGUAUUUGAAGAGCAUCUCCAGACUAGCUGUUCGAUUAAAGAUUGAAUACUGCAACUCCAAUUUCUACACGAAAUCCAAUACUC